GAACAUCCAAUGGUAAAUUACGGUGAAUUAAGUUAUAUAU
This 40-nucleotide non-coding RNA is filed under the name Trypanosoma brucei brucei. Lineage: Eukaryota; Euglenozoa; Kinetoplastea; Trypanosomatida; Trypanosomatidae. The record is from RNAcentral.